GUUGGUGUAGCUCAGUGGUAGAGUGCAUGCUUUGGUUGUAUGAUGUCCUAAGUUGAAUCCCCAGCUUGUCCC
This is a non-coding RNA of Dallia pectoralis (Alaska blackfish), 72 nucleotides long. Lineage: Eukaryota; Metazoa; Chordata; Actinopteri; Esociformes; Umbridae. The record is from the annotation of a GenBank genome assembly.